Oncorhynchus kisutch (coho salmon) is the source of this 1014-nucleotide long non-coding RNA. RefSeq lists it as uncharacterized. NCBI's taxonomy places the organism in Eukaryota, Metazoa, Chordata, Actinopteri, Salmoniformes, Salmonidae. The record is from RefSeq and is a predicted model, not a curated record. The transcript is spliced from 3 exons.
UUAUAUGGAGCAGAGAGGGGGAACAUUUUGACCCCAGUGUUGUGUUUGUACCUUUGUGGUGUUGGCUAACACAGUUCAUGUUUCACACAAGAUGGCAGCUUCCUCUUCCGUACCCCCGGCGACCGUUCCAUUCCAUGCACCAUGGCGGGGACUUUCAAAAGCAAACAUACAUCAUCCUGUAGCAGGAGGGCGUAGAAGCCCAAUCUAUGGAGGGAACAAUCAGUUCAAUCUGAUGAGUGCUGGGAUGCCUACAUCGGACAGCUAAGGCACAGCUCUCUCUUUCUCUGUCUCUCUGCUCAGACAAACAUCUCCUCCCAACCCCCUGUCCAAAGGAUCUCCAAUGCCUCUCUCUGUGUGAAGCUCCUGCUUUUCAUCACCACGGAAGUUGGAGACCCACCUUACCCACCUACUGACUCUCACCCCUAUCCCCCAAACCCUCCGCCGCCCCCGGCUGUCGCCCCACCCCUCACUGCACCUCUCAUCUCCAACACGGCUCAAUAAAAUUACCAUGUUUGGACAUUGAGCGAGCCACCGUUAAAAGCCUGAUCGAUGAGCUUUGACUGACACCCCUCAGUUGAUAGCAAAUUGGCCGGCUUUCCUAGCGGCCUCCCACGGAGAGUUUCAAAGCCUUGCUCUAAAUUCCCCGCUGGAGGAGAAGGGAGAGAAGAAAAAAAGUUGCUGCACUUUCCGCCAACCCUUCACCCAGCUGUCUGCCACUCAAAACAACACCGUGAGGCAGAGAGACCUACCUUUCUCACUGAGAGAAGGAGGAGGAGAAAGAGAGUUUAAGAAGCGGUUUCCUUUCCUGACUGCCGAGCCCAGUAUUUUGUUAACGGUUGAGUCACUAUCACAAUAUUUGCCCUCAGAUUCCAGUCAGCUUAAACUGGCAAGAAGCAGGAAGAUGGAGCUCUUUGUCUGAGGAGGAGAAAGAAAGAAAGAAGAAAGAAAGAAAGAAAGAAAGAAAGAAAGAAAGAAAGAAAGAAAGAAAGAAAGAAAGAAAGAAAGAAAGAAAGA